AUACGGAGGGUGCAAGCGUUAUCCGGAUUUAUUGGGUUUAAAGGGUCCGUAGGCUGAUUUGUAAGUCAGUGGUGAAAUCUCACAGCUUAACUGUGAAACUGCCAUUGAUACUGCAAGUCUUGAGUGUUGUUGAAGUAGCUGGAAUAAGUAGUGUAGCGGUGAAAUGCAUAGAUAUUACUUAGAACACCAAUUGCGAAGGCAGGUUACUAAGCAACAACUGACGCUGAUGGACGAAAGCGUGGGGAGCGAACAGGAUUAGAUACCCUGGUAGUCCACGCCGUAAACGAUGCUAACUCGUUUUUGGGUUUUCGGAUUCAGAGACUAAGCGAAAGUGAUAAGUUAGCCACCUGGGGAGUACGAACGCAAGUUUGA
RNAcentral lists this ribosomal RNA (372 nucleotides) under uncultured bacterium. Its description in RNAcentral is "bacterial SSU rRNA". It matches the Rfam family "Bacterial small subunit ribosomal RNA", at positions 523 to 897 of the family's 1533-position model. The record is from RNAcentral.